UCAGAAAUUGUAAACGCAAGUAGAUAUUCAAAUGAAACUUUGAAAGCUUAAUCUUUUUGAGUUACGGUGAGAAAAAAAACAAGUAGAUAUUAUGGUGUUAGUUUUCUUUACAUUUUCAUCAUUGAUAAAAGCUAUACCUAUAUCAAUACAAAAACAGUUUAUAGUAUAUGACAGUACUCUUCUAAGAGAAAUGCUUUAUAUAUGUGAUGUGUAUAAUAAGAUAGCCGAAUUAAAUGAUCUCUCCAAAAUUCCUUUUUUCACGUACCCACUUUAUGCUCUCAACCUAUAGGCUAGGAGCCUAGGAAGUUGGUGUUGGCAGUUUGGAUCCAAUCAUUAACAAACUAAAAACAAAAAGUUUUAUAACGAUGGAAUAUUACGUUGUAAAAGUUGGAUAUAAAAUUUAACCAGUUCGAAAGACGUUAUAAAUUUUUUUUUUAACCAGUUCGUUUGACCAAAAAAUAAUUUAACCAAUUUUAUUUUCUCUUCAUGCUGACCAUGAUGGUUACAACUUACAAGGAUGAAGAAUAUAUACGAAACAAAACAAAAGUCUAGGAAAACGAUUAUUAAAAUCUAUCCUAUACUAAAAGGAAGAUAUAGAGUGAUUUUAGCAUGUCCACGUUGGACUAAAAAAUCAUCCAAUAAGAGAUUUCUAUUUUGUCAUGUCAUACCUUACGCUCAGGCGCUUUACGUUUGUUGCGUUGAAGUGAUGUAGGCUCAGUUUGGGCUUCACUUCUAUUUUUAUGAAUUGAGCAUGUUUCUUAUUUGAGGUCCAUAUGUAUUAGUUUCUUCUUCCUCCUUCUUGCGACUGAUUCUUCCCCGACGAAACCACACAGAGUUUCCUUUGCUAACCGUAACAUCUCACAAAUCCUUUAAUCCGUCAUUAAAUUUGGAUUUUCCCUUCAUUAGUCCACAACUCCCACAUUAAAAUUUCGAUGUACCUUUUCGUUUCCACUGUAACCCCUGAAUCUACAUCUAUAAAUAUCGGAUCUUCCUAGCAUGCAAAGUCCACACUCACACAAACUCGAAAAGCAAACAAAUAGACCCACACACUCUUUUUCUUGAAGACUCCGCAGCCUUGAUCGGAACUUCUCAUCGUCAAAGCUCUGUUUCUUUUCAUCUUACCGGCCACCAAAAUUGGAGACUACAGAACGAGGAUCAAUCGAAACAACGUCUUAAAUGCUGUCGUUAACACUAUCUCCACCAUUACUUCCUUUUUGUGAAUCCGGGAGAAUCCUCAACUAUGGAAGGAGCCAAAAGAGAACUGGCCUCCAUGAAGAAGCUUUGGCACUAUAUUGUCUACGGGAGAUGACAAUACUCAUUCAAGGCACCUUUUCCUAUCUACAGAUACACUACAUCAAAGUCUUCGAUUGACCUCUUCAAUUCAUCGUCACCGUCUUCUACACCCCUGGGAAUCGCUGUAAUACAUUUCACGUGGUGAGUUUCUUCAUUGAACCAAAGCUGCUCCACUGAAAUCUUGCCUCAAGAAGCUGGGAACACUAUUUCCUCCCAUCUAUGUUUCAUAUUGGAAUAGAAGAAGAGUAAGAUGAAGAAAUGACUAUCAGGAAAACGAGUUAUGUUCAACAUUAAACUCGGUGACGGUUGAAGAAGAAUGGAAGAGAAGGGAGUUUCAGACUCUCAACUUACGCUGCUCAUGUUUUUAUCUAACAGGUCACAUGGAACUUUUUAACCGUUCAAAAGGGCAGCAUCAAAACCUAGACAGAUGUUUCUUUUUUUUUCUUUUUUUCUCUUUGAACAUCAAUUACUGAUAAAAAUAUUUUAUGCUUGACAUAUUCUUCAAUAUCGAA
Long non-coding RNA from Brassica napus (rape), 1805 nucleotides. RefSeq lists it as uncharacterized. The record is from RefSeq and is a predicted model, not a curated record. The transcript is spliced from 4 exons. NCBI's taxonomy places the organism in Eukaryota, Viridiplantae, Streptophyta, Magnoliopsida, Brassicales, Brassicaceae.